AUUGAACGCUGGCGGCAUGCCUUACACAUGCAAGUCGAACGGUAACAGGUCUUCGGAUGCUGACGAGUGGCGAACGGGUGAGUAAUACAUCGGAACGUGCCCGAUCGUGGGGGAUAACGAGGCGAAAGCUUUGCUAAUACCUCAUACGAUCUACGGAUGAAAGCGGGGGAUCUUCGGACCUCGCGCGGACGGAGCGGCCGCUGGCAGAUUAGGUAGUUGGUGGGAUAAAAGCUUACCAAGCCGACGAUCUGUAGCUGGUCUGAGAGGAUGAUCAGCCACACUGGGACUGAGACACGGCCCAGACUCCUACGGGAGGCAGCAGUGGGGAAUUUUGGACAAUGGGCGAAAGCCUGAUCCAGCCAUGCCGCGUGAAGGAUGAAGGCCUUUGGGUUGUAAAAUGCUUUUGUACGGAAAGAAAAGCCUCUUUCUAAUAAAGAGGGGUCAUGACGGUACCGUAAGAAUAAGCACCGGCUAACUACGUG
Molecule: ribosomal RNA, 482 nt
Filed under: uncultured bacterium
Lineage: Bacteria
Description: partial 16S ribosomal RNA
Rfam family: Bacterial small subunit ribosomal RNA
Source: RNAcentral